GUCUGAUUCUCUCUCUUUUGAAAGAAGCUAAACAGUCAACAACUCCAUUUCCAGUCUCUCUCUAUCGAAGCAGAGCAGUGAAAAUCUGGAGAAGAUACUUUCAUGGCUGGCACGUGGAGAUAAUUCUCAGUGAACAGGAUUCUGGAUAUGUGAAUUGAGAUUGAGGUGUAUAGGGUCCUUUGUUAUUCAUGGCCAAUUUAUUGGCUAAUUUGCUGGAUGUUUGUGUUGAGAUGUAACUAAUUUCAUCGCUACUCUACGUCCCGUUUCCUCCUUUUUUCUUUUUAUAAAAGAGAAAAGAGGAUGGAAGAGUUGACAGAUCUUGUUGCCCGGAACUCAGUUCGUGUAUGGACUGGGAACUUUUUUUGUAUUUCAAUUAUUUUUUUCCCUUUAUGUAUGUUCAAUUAUUUUUUUCCCUUUAUGCAUGUCCAUGAAUUCCCAGUGAACUAGCUUGCAAAUGAUUUACUUCACAGAAUAGAGGUCUUGGGCUUUGUAUAUAUUGAA
This is a non-coding RNA of Carica papaya (papaya), 501 nucleotides long. The record is from RefSeq and is a predicted model, not a curated record. Lineage: Eukaryota; Viridiplantae; Streptophyta; Magnoliopsida; Brassicales; Caricaceae.